GACGAACGCUGGCGGCGUGCCUAAUACAUGCAAGUUGAGCGAUGAAGAUUGGUGCUUGCACCAAUUUGAAGAGCAGCGAACGGGUGAGUAACGCGUGGGGAAUCUGCCUUUGAGCGGGGGACAACAUUUGGAAACGAAUGCUAAUACCGCAUAACAACUUUAAACAUAAGUUUUAAGUUUGAAAGAUGCAAUUGCAUCACUCAAAGAUGAUCCCGCGUUGUAUUAGCUAGUUGGUGAGGUAAAGGCUCACCAAGGCGAUGAUACAUAGCCGACCUGAGAGGGUGAUCGGCCACAUUGGGACUGAGACACGGCCCAAACUCCUACGGGAGGCAGCAGUAGGGAAUCUUCGGCAAUGGACGAAAGUCUGACCGAGCAACGCCGCGUGAGUGAAGAAGGUUUUCGGAUCGUAAAACUCUGUUGGUAGAGAAGAACGUUGGUGAGAGUGGAAAGCUCGCCAAGUGACGGUAACUACCCAGAAAGGGACGGCUAACUACGUG
This 497-nucleotide ribosomal RNA is filed under the name uncultured bacterium. RNAcentral's name for it is "partial 16S ribosomal RNA". It matches the Rfam family "Bacterial small subunit ribosomal RNA", at positions 28 to 507 of the family's 1533-position model. The record is from RNAcentral.